UACGAAGGGGGCUAGCGUUGCUCGGAAUUACUGGGCGUAAAGGGCGCGUAGGCGGUUGUGUAAGUUGGGGGUGAAAUCCCGGGGCUCAACCUCGGAACCGCCUUCAAUACUGGAUAUCUUGAGUUCGGGAGAGGUGAGUGGAAUGCCGAGUGUAGAGGUGAAAUUCGUAGAUAUUCGGCGGAACACCAGUGGCGAAGGCGACUCACUGGCCCGAUACUGACGCUGAGGCGCGAAAGCGUGGGGAGCAAACAGG
RNAcentral lists this ribosomal RNA (253 nucleotides) under uncultured bacterium. RNAcentral's name for it is "partial 16S ribosomal RNA". It matches the Rfam family "Bacterial small subunit ribosomal RNA", at positions 524 to 776 of the family's 1533-position model. The record is from RNAcentral.